Molecule: ribosomal RNA, 402 nt
Filed under: uncultured bacterium
Lineage: Bacteria
Description: bacterial SSU rRNA
Rfam family: Bacterial small subunit ribosomal RNA
Source: RNAcentral
CAGCCCUUGACAUGCCUCGUAUGGGCCUGAGAGAUCAGGUCCUUCAGUUCGGCUGGCGGGGACACAGGUGCUGCAUGGCUGUCGUCAGCUCGUGUCGUGAGAUGUUGGGUUAAGUCCCGCAACGAGCGCAACCCUUGUCCUUAGUUGCCAUCAUUUAGUUGGGAACUCUAAGGAGACCGCCGGCGACAAGCCGGAGGAAGGUGGGGAUGACGUCAAGUCCUCAUGGCCCUUACACCCUGGGCUACACACGUGCUACAAUGGCGGUGACAGUGGGCAGCUACUUCGCGAGAAGCGGCUAAUCCCAAAAAACCGUCCCAGUUCAGAUUGUACUCUGCAACUCGAGUACAUGAAGGUGGAAUCGCUAGUAAUCGCAGAACAGCAGGCUGCGGUGAAUACGUUCCC